GCCGCGCGAACGCGUACCCCCUCUACCACAAAUUACGACGUCCACUCUCCCACUUGGGGAGAUGGUAGGCCAGCGCAUCCACCAAGUGCAAUGUGGACCACUAGCCUAGGCCACGACUCUUCUUGA
RNAcentral lists this ribosomal RNA (126 nucleotides) under Triticum aestivum (bread wheat). Its description in RNAcentral is "partial small subunit ribosomal RNA". Lineage: Eukaryota; Viridiplantae; Streptophyta; Magnoliopsida; Poales; Poaceae. The record is from RNAcentral.